Molecule: ribosomal RNA, 330 nt
Filed under: Triticum aestivum (bread wheat)
Lineage: Eukaryota; Viridiplantae; Streptophyta; Magnoliopsida; Poales; Poaceae
Description: partial small subunit ribosomal RNA
Source: RNAcentral
AUGCGUAUGUUGAGAUGGAUGUGUGGCCACACGAGGAAGGAUCGAGUCCGGAAUGAUGAUAUACGAGAUAGAGUUGGGGUUGCACCAAUUGAGAAGAAGCUUGUCCAACAUCGUUUGAGAUGGUUUGGGCAUAUUCAGCGCAGGCCUCCAGAAGCUCCAGUGCAUAGAGGACGGCUAAAGCGUGCGGAGAAUGUCAAGAGAGGGCGGGGUCGACCGAUUUUGACAUGGGAGGAGUCCGUUAAGAGAGACCUGAAGGAUUGGAGUAUCGACAAAGAGCUAGCUAUGGACAGGGGUGCGUGGAAGCUUGCUAUCCUUGUGCCAGAGCCAUGA